RNAcentral lists this ribosomal RNA (496 nucleotides) under uncultured bacterium. Its description in RNAcentral is "bacterial SSU rRNA". It matches the Rfam family "Bacterial small subunit ribosomal RNA", at positions 28 to 511 of the family's 1533-position model. The record is from RNAcentral.
GAUGAACGCUAGCUACAGGCUUAACACAUGCAAGUCGCGGGGUAACAUCUGGUAGAGCUUGCUCUUCCAGGAUGACGACCGGCGCACGGGUGAGUAACGCGUAUCCAACCUGGCCCAUACCACGGGAUAGCCCGUCGAAAGGCGGAUUAAUACCGUAUGCUGUCAUUAAGAUGCAUAUAUUGAUGACGAAAGGACUGGCGGUAUGGGAUGGGGAUGCGUCUGAUUAGCUUGUUGGCGGGGUAACGGCCCACCAAGGCGACGAUCAGUAGGGGUUCUGAGAGGAAGGUCCCCCACACUGGUACUGAGACACGGACCAGACUCCUACGGGAGGCAGCAGUGAGGAAUAUUGGUCAAUGGGCGAGAGCCUGAACCAGCCAAGUAGCGUGCAGGACGACGGCCCUAUGGGUUGUAAACUGCUUUUAUAAGGGAAUAAAGUGGGUCUCGUGAGACUUUUUGCAUGUACCUUAUGAAUAAGGACCGGCUAAUUCCGUGCCAG